Long non-coding RNA from Lathyrus oleraceus (garden pea), 872 nucleotides. RefSeq lists it as uncharacterized. The transcript has 5 exons. NCBI's taxonomy places the organism in Eukaryota, Viridiplantae, Streptophyta, Magnoliopsida, Fabales, Fabaceae. The record is from RefSeq and is a predicted model, not a curated record.
AAGUAAAAGUAGUGCAUUUUGCGGAACCGGUGAGACCGGGCACAGUGAGAGUAUAUAAACUGUUAAAAGUCAUUUGCCGUGUUCCUCUCCUUUUCACAUAACCACCAUUCCGAUCCGAUACAAUGGAGGCGAAGCCUUCCUCACUUCUCUCUGCAUCGAUAAUCUCAAUCGAUAACUUUCCUUGGUGAUGAUGAUGCUGUUGUUACGAUUUCUAAUUUCACUUGCCAUUUGAGGAUCUGACUAAGGAAGAUUUUUCGCACGAUGAAUCAACGAACAAGAGAAAACGUUCCAGGGAUUGGAAUCCAAAUAGAGCAUGGCAGAAGUUGUUUGAGUUGGAUGGCCUAAUCUCACUAAUCAGAUCCAACCAACUGGCUGGAAGAAAUUGUCUGGAUGAAGGAGCAGAGAUAGCCCAAAUCACAUCUUUUAAAGGGUGUAUACUAUUGGCGACAUAAAGGUUUCAGGUACUAUGCUAAGUUGCUCUCUACGUAGUGAAAUUUCCAACGCGAAGUGCCUUCUAGGAAAUUUGACUCGGCAACAAGCCUUUUAGGAAACUUAAGAGGCUUGUGGCCUGUGGGCAUUUAGGAGGUUUGCAGACCCUCAAAAUUUUGUAGUCAAGGGAAUUUUUCCUAUUUUCUUCUAUUAAAUCUUAAAUCUUUUUUGGUUUAAUUUUCAAAUAACUUUUUCAUGAACUUCUACAACUUAUUCUUUCAUUAAUUUUUUAACUUUCAUUAUCUUUAGGAUCUGUAUUUUUCACUCAUCGAAUUACAUCUUCUGAAAUAGAUUGAGCCAUAGAUACCAAUGUGAAGAUUAUUGCAUUACUAAUCAAAAGCAACGUAUAUGUUCUUUAAUGAGAUGUGUAUUUUUUCCAUCAA